CUCUCCAGCCACCUGGCGGCCCGGCAGCGUCAGCCAGGUGCGCGCCCGGCCCCACAUCCUCUGGGUCACGCCCCCGAGGCCGCAAGGCGUCUGAGAAGCAGCCCCGGCUCUGACCCGCCAGCCCUCGGAAGAAGCAGACCCUGGCCGGUCCAUGGCAGUGGCCCGAGGGGCACCAGCGCGGAGCACCAGCGACCCCCAAGGAACGACGUUGCAGAUGAUGCUCUACCAAGAGUUGGAAGGACUCCCCAGGGAAUCCCACAAGACACUGCGCUUCCUAUGCCUCCUUUCCCUCGUUUAAAAAAUGGGGAUAAGAAGGUUGGCUACUGCUCCGACAGCCCUCACAAUGGAAGAGUAGCACUUCAUUUGUGGGUUAACAAAGGGCAACGCUGAAAUCUCCACUUCCACUAUUGAAUGGAACUGUGUCAUAAUAUCUGUUAGAGGCGUGCAAACUCGGCCACAAGGUCAUGGUCAUACGUUAUUGUUGGUCAAAAGCCGCAGCCCUACCUGAGGCUUUGAGAGAUAUGAACACCAAUGACUUUUCUUUUCCUGACUCCCGAAAUACCAAGAAAAAGCAACUUCCCCAAAUGGACAGAAACAGAAAGUACCCUUGGUUGAACACAGAGGCCUGGUUCCAGCCAUCGUUAGACGUGGGAAGGAACUCAGACCCCCUCUCCUACCUCAUCCCCAACCCCUUCCCCACACGUCACCCUUUCACAGAGAAGGAACCAGAGCCACCAAGGGCUGAGAGAGGACUUGAUAAGGAUUCCAGUCUUCUGUCUCCCCUGUCCCCACUUUUUCCACCACAAAAAUAUGGACAUUUGGAAGAAGAGGAGAAGAGGGAAGGUACACACUGUGCAAAGGAAGAAAAUGGCAGAAAUGCUCUGGAAUCAGGAAUUCAGGAGCAAGAAUGACACUGUGUGCCAGAUGGAAAUGUUGGAUUAGGAGAGCACUUGGAAAGGCAAAUAAUCUGCCAGAGAAAUUAUGGGAUGCCUGCCUUCUGAAAAUGGAGGAAAACUGCAAAAGAGUGGCUCAUUGGUGCUCACUCCUAGGGCUCUGAGCAUCCCAAGAAGCCAACUUGGUCCCAUCGUACAUCCCCUCAGAAGUAGGCAUUCUCCUCUCCACCUACAGCUGUGGCCCAGAUGUGGAGCCUGCAUGUUAUGCCACGCCGUCAACACUGAGUUCUGUCUGCGUCUCCCUGUCACAGAUCUGAUCAGCACCUGACACCUAUCCAUUCUCCAUUUCCCACCUCCCCAAAGCUGCUGGAAAAACUCUGAAAGGUACCUCUGUCACUCAUUAAGCAUCUGAUUAUGUACCUCUUUCUACAACUCCUUUGUUGCUUUGUUUUAAAAUCUAUGGCUCUUUGAAAUCACUCUCCUUCCUUUCACUGCCUAAUGUUUUCAAAGAGGAGUCUACCCCUGCCUCCACUUCCUCAUCUUACAUUUAUUCCUCAAUUCUCUGAACAGAGACCACCAGGGAAACCCCAAAUGUCAACUCCAAUGGUUUCAUUUUCUUACCUCACUACAGCAUUUGGCACCACUCCUUCUUGAAAAUCCCCUCCUUGGCUUCUCCUCCACCUCUCACCAUGAUUUCUGUUUUCUUCUUCUGGCUUCAUUUCUUCAUCAUCUCUUAAACAUUACAAUGCUUGAGAUUUCAGAUAAGGCUGCUUCUCUUCUCCCUGGGCAAUCUCAUCCAUUCCCAUCAUACUGAUCCCUCCCAAACUAUCGCCCAGACUUCUCUCUUGAGCUCCAGAUCUGUAAUUCCAAGUGUUUUCUGUACACCCAUACCUAGAUAAUCAAUCCAAAAGCCUUUUAAUUACUCCAUGACCUAAAAUAAAUUCCUCAUCUUCUCCCAAACUCCUUCUCCUGCCUUCCCUAUCUCAGUUGACAUCAUUACUAUCCACCAGUGGAUAGUAAGAUUUCUAGUAACUUAUAGCCAGAAUAUAUAAAGAACUCCCACAACUCAAAAGUAGUAAAGACAAAGAAUCCAAUUUAAAAAUGGGCAAAAGACUUGAACAGACACUUCAACAAAAAAAAGAUAUGCGCAUGGCCAAUAAACACACGAAAAGGUGCUAACAUGAUGAGUCUUUGGGGAAAUGCAAACUUAAACCAUGAGUUACCACUUUACAGUCAUUAGAAUAGCUAAAAUUCAUACUGAAAACACCAAAUGUUGGCAAGGAUGUGGAGCAACUGAAACACUCAUAUAUUGCUUGUAGGAGUGUAACACGGCACAACAAGUUUGGGAAACUGAUUGGCAGUAUCUAAUAAAGGUGAAUCUCACAAAAAUGAUGCUGAGCAAAAGAAGCCAGACACAAAAGAAAAUAUAGUGCAUGAUUCCAUUUAUAUGAAGUUCAAGAACCAGCAAACUAACUUAUAGUGAUAGGAGUCAGAAUGAUGGUUAUCUUGGGGGAAGGGAACAAUUUAGCCAGAAAGUGGACAUGAGUGAACUUUCUGGGGUGGUGUUUUUAUCUUGAUGGUGGUUAAAUGGUUUCUGCAUAUGCACAAGUUAGUGAGAUCUUCACUUAAAAGUUACAUAUUCUGCUCUUUGUAAAUUAUAUCCCAGUACAUAAAAUAUGUGAGAAAAGAAAAUCCACAUUGGUCUUCCUGUCACCCAGUGCAGUGGCAUGAUCAAUGCUCCCUGCAGCCUCAAAUUCCUGGGCUCAAGCCAUCCUCCUGCCUCAGGCAUGCCUAGCUAAUUAUUAUUAUUAUUAUUAUUAUUAUUAUUAUUAUUAUUAUUAUUAAUUUGGUAGAAAUGGAGUCUUGCUGUGUUGCCCAGGUAGGUCUCAAACUCCUAGGCUUAAACAAUACUCCCACCCGGGCCUCCCAAAGUGCUGGGAUUACAGGUGCAAGCCACUGUGCCUGGCUGACAUUGGGCUUUUAUAUCUUCAUGCCCUUCCUCUCUCUGUCCUCUCUGCUUAAAAUACCUCUCUCCACUUAUUUAUUUGACUGAAUGCUUACUGACUAUUCAUGAUAAUCAGGAGAACCACCUCAACUUCUAUUCCAGAAUAAAUAUAGACUCCCUCCUGGUAAAAAUAAACAGAGAGAGAAAAAGUAAUGAUAUGAAAACACAAAAAGAUUCAGACUUUCAACAGAACGGAACAUGGUCAGAGAAAAUUAGUUUCCUUUGAAAUGAAAUUUCCACAAGAAGAAGAGGAAAAAAAAUUAAACAUCUUUCUCUUUUAUGUUUUUAAUAAUAUUUGGGAGGAUAUUGUAUUUGCAAGUGUAGUGGAUUAUGUAAUUACAAACUGAAAUUACAAGGAAUCAUUAAGAAAUUACAAACUGAAAUUAGGAAACAUUUUUAGCUUGCUAAAUUUAAACCUCAAUGGAAACAAUGAACAGAAGAUUGGGAACCGAAGAAAGCUGAAUGUGUGACCCAGAACUCAAGCUUGAAAAUUUAUCCUGGAAUUCAGAAGAGAAAAGAUGAUCUGUGAUAGCUAGACUAUAGAGGUCUAAUAUGUGUAUAACAGUAAUUCCACAAGGAGAGAGAGGAGAAAAUAAAAUAUAUGGCAGAAGAAAUUUUCUCUGAACUAAAGAAAGAUUUGCAUCUUCUACUCAAUAUCUUAACUUUCCUGGUAAGACAUGAAUUACCAAAAAUUGACUUAAGAAGAGAUACACUCUGAAUAGACCAAUAACCAUGGAAUUGUAUAAAUUAUCAAAGAACAUCUCUCUUGAAAGUCUCCAUGUCUUGGUAGUUACAUAGAUGACUUCUAUCAAAUUUUAAAGGACAGAAUUCUACCAUGCUUUUAAAAAAUACUACCAUGAAAAAUAUAGUAUGCUAACCUUUCAUGUAAAAAAGAAAGAGAAAUAAGAAAAUAUGCAUGUAUCUUCUCAUUUGUAGAAAAACAAGUAUAGGAAGGAUCAACCAGAAACUGAUGAGAUUGGUUACCUACAGUGGAUAGGUAGGGAUAGUCUGGAAAGAAUGGGAGAUUGGGGGUAAGGAUAGAAGGGAUGGGAGAAAUGACAAUUCUCUGAGUAUGCUGUUUGUACAGUUCUUACUUUGAGGACCAUGAUAAUGCUACAUAUAUCCUCAUCUCACCCUAAAGUAGUAAGUUUACAUCAAUCAGGAUGUGAUGGGAACCCAAAACUGAAUAUGAACAGUAACAAAUGAACCUAUUACAAAUGAAUGAUAUAAUCAUACUGAGGAAGGAGAAGACAAAAGGAACUAACCAAGUAACAUAGAAAACCAUAUUUUGACUACAUACUAUAAGUAUGUGCCCUGUCCAAAUCUCAUACUGAAAUGUAAUCCCCAGUGCUGGAGGUGGGGCCUGUUGGAAGGUGAUUGGAUCAUGGGGGCAGAUUUCUCAUGAAUGGUUUUUCACCAUCCCUCUUGGUACUGUCCUCUUGAGAGUGAGUUCUCAUGAGAUCUGGUCAUUUAAAAGUGUGUAGUACUGGGCAGGCGCAGUGGCUCAUGCCUGUAAUCCCAGCACUUUGGGAGGCCAAGGCAGGCGGAUCAUGAGGUCAGGAGAUUGAGACCAUCUUGGCCAACAUGGUGAAAUUCCGUCUCAACUAAAAAUACAAAA
Molecule: long non-coding RNA, 4516 nt
Filed under: Homo sapiens (human)
Lineage: Eukaryota; Metazoa; Chordata; Mammalia; Primates; Hominidae
Description: non-protein coding lnc-NTN1-2:9
Source: RNAcentral